UAAAAAUAAAACAUCUGUUAGGAGUGAAAGUAGAUUAUGCAAAUUAGUGUUCUUACUACUUUUCUUCAUAUCCCCUUGCCUCUGGCUAUAAUAGAAAAUAAUCAAACUCAGUAGGAUGCAACUUGAUUGACUACAAUUUACUUUUACAAAUUCUAAUUCUGUGGAGCUUUAGUCCUCUGAGUAAUCUCCUCCCCCCCCCCCCCCCCCAAAAAAAACAACAAAAAAAAUAGAAAACUACUGUGGAACUUUUUGUCCUAUGAGUAAUCUGCAUCUCCCUCCCCCCUCGGUUUGAGCGGAUCUUACUUUACAGGACUUUGGUAAUCAAUUGACAAAGACUAAAAUGUCUUCUCUGCUCACCUGCCCCCUUCAUAUCUUGUAAUGAAACUACUCAAGUCAAUUCUACAGAGUUAUUUGCAUUGGAGGUAAUAUUUGGCUGAGGAAAUCUUACUUCAGCUCAUGAGUCUUUUAAGCCCAAAUAAGACCUGUGAUACGAACGUCGCCAACCUUGUGACGAAACCCGUAAAAGAUUAGCUUCAGGAUCGACAAGAGGACACCAAGUUUGAAGCGGAUGACCUCAACCCGUUAAUCACGUGGUUAACGAACCUUGGUAUAAUGGUAGAAGACGCCACAACCUAGUGCGAUUCUAGAUUGAUAAGUCACGAACACCUAGAGAAAUUUAAGGUAUUCAAGAAGCCUUGGAGAAACCAAGAAAACUCUCAAAAUCUGAUUUAUU
This 733-nucleotide long non-coding RNA is filed under the name Coffea arabica (coffee). RNAcentral's name for it is "long non-coding RNA (CARA_LNC005105)". The record is from RNAcentral. Lineage: Eukaryota; Viridiplantae; Streptophyta; Magnoliopsida; Gentianales; Rubiaceae.